GACGAACGCUGGCGGCGUGCCUAAUACAUGCAAGUCGUGCGGACCUUGUUGAAAGCUUGCUUUUAAAAGGUUAGCGGCGGACGGGUGAGUAACACGUGGGCAACCUGCCUGUAAGACUGGGAUAACGCCGGGAAACCGGGGCUAAUACCAGAUCGUUUUUUCCUCCGCAUGGAGGAAAAAGGAAAGGCGGCUUCGGCUGCCACUUACAGAUGGACCCGCGGCGCAUUAGCUAGUUGGCGGGGUAAUGGCCCACCAAGGCAACGAUGCGUAGCCGACCUGAGAGGGUGAUCGGCCACAUUGGGACUGAGACACGGCCCAAACUCCUACGGGAGGCAGCAGUAGGGAAUCUUCCGCAAUGGACGAAAGUCUGACGGAGCAACGCCGCGUGAGUGAAGAAGGCCUUCGGGUCGUAAAACUCUGUUGCCGGGGAAGAACAAGUGCCGUUCGAACAGGGCGGCGCCUUGACGGUACCCGGCCAGAAAGCCACGGCUAACUACGUG
This 500-nucleotide ribosomal RNA is filed under the name uncultured bacterium. Its description in RNAcentral is "partial 16S ribosomal RNA". It matches the Rfam family "Bacterial small subunit ribosomal RNA", at positions 28 to 507 of the family's 1533-position model. The record is from RNAcentral.